RNAcentral lists this ribosomal RNA (274 nucleotides) under uncultured bacterium. RNAcentral describes it as "partial 16S ribosomal RNA". It matches the Rfam family "Bacterial small subunit ribosomal RNA", at positions 523 to 796 of the family's 1533-position model. The record is from RNAcentral.
AUACGGAGGAUCCAAGCGUUAUCCGGAAUCAUUGGGUUUAAAGGGUCCGUAGGUGGAUAAUUAAGUCAGAGGUGAAAUCCUGCAGCUCAACUGUAGCAUUUCCUUUGAUACUGGUUAUCUUGAGUUAUUAUGAAGUAGUUAGAAUAUGUAGUGUAGCGGUGAAAUGCAUAGAUAGUACAUAGAAUACCGAUUGCGAAGGCAGAUUACUAAUAAUAUACUGACACUGAGGGACGAAAGCGUGGGGAGCGAACAGGAUUAGAUACCCUGGUAGUCC